This 1161-nucleotide ribosomal RNA is filed under the name uncultured organism. RNAcentral describes it as "bacterial SSU rRNA". It matches the Rfam family "Bacterial small subunit ribosomal RNA", at positions 94 to 1287 of the family's 1533-position model. The record is from RNAcentral.
AGCGGCAGACGGGCGAGUAACACGUAGGUGAUCUACCCCAGAGACGGGGAUAACGGGUGGAAACAUCCGCUAAUACCGGAUAGGCUUGUUCGGUCAAAGGGACAAGGAAAGGCUCCGGCGCUCUGGGAGGAGCCUGCGGCCCAUCAGCUAGUUGGCGGGGUAACGGCCCACCAAGGCAAAGACGGGUAGGGGGUGUGAGAGCAUGGCCCCCCACAAUGGGACUGGAACACGGCCCAUACUCCUACGGGAGGCAGCAGCAGGGAAUAUUGCACAAUGGACGGAAGUCUGAUGCAGCGACGCCGCGUGGAUGAAGAAGGCCCUCGGGUUGUAAAAUCCUUUACAGGGGGAAGAGGAAGGACGGUACCCCUGGAACAAGUGUCGGCUAACUACGUGCCAGCAGCCGCGGUAAGACGUAGGACACAAGCGUUAUCCGGAUUUACUGGGCGUAAAGCGUCUGCAGGCGGACAGGUAAGUUGGGCGUGAAAGCUCCGGGCCCAACCCGGAGAGGUCGUUCAAUACUGCGUGUCUAGAGGGUGUCAGAGGGGAGUGGAAUUUCCGGAGUAGCGGUAAAAUGCGCAGAGAUCGGAAAGAACACCAAUGGCGAAGGCAGCUCCCUGGGGCAACCCUGACGCUAAGAGACGAAAGCUAGGGGAGCGAACAGGAUUAGAGACCCUGGUAGUCCUAGCCCUAAACGAUGGAUGCUGGAUGUGGGGCCAUUAGCGGCUCCGUGUCGAAGCGAACGCGUUAAGCAUCCCGCCUGGGGACUACGGGCGCAAGGUUAAAAGUCAAACGAAUUGACGGGACCCCGGGACAAGCAGCGGAGCGUGUGGUUUAAUUCGAUGCUACACGAAGAACCUUACACUGGGUUUGACAUCUAGGUGGUAGUGAAGCGAAAGCGGAGCGACCCUUCGGGGGGCCUAGACAGGUGCUGCAUGGCGGUCGUCAGCUCGUGCCGUGAAGGUGCCGGGUUAAGUCCCGUAACGAGAGCAACCCUUGCCCUCCGUUAUACGUGUCAGAGGGGACUGCCGCCGGUAAGCGGAGGAAGGUGGGGAUGACGUCAAGUCAGCAUGGCCUUUAUAUCCAGGGCUACACACACGCUACAAUGGCCAGUACAAAGGGCAGCGAAGCCGCGAGGUGGAGCGAAUCCCAGCAAAGCUGGUC